Sphaerodactylus townsendi is the source of this 2558-nucleotide long non-coding RNA. RefSeq lists it as uncharacterized. Lineage: Eukaryota; Metazoa; Chordata; Lepidosauria; Squamata; Sphaerodactylidae. The record is from RefSeq and is a predicted model, not a curated record. The transcript has 2 exons.
UACAACACCAUAAAAUGUUUUCAUAGCAGUAAUAAAACAUUUUGAAAAUGUUUUCAAAAAUUAUUUCUGCUGUGUGGCAUGGCCUAUUGCUGUGUUCAGAUUUGUGAGUUGGGGCAUGUUCUAUGAUGUGAUUGCGACUUUCAAACGACCUGGUGCCAAGCUCCAGUUUGCCUAAAUACACCACUGGGCAUAGCUACAAGGGGGUGGGGGUGUGCGCGUUGCUCCGGGCACACACCGGUGGGGGCCCCCCACCAAACUCAGGUUUUGCCCAGGGCUCCAGGGUUUUGCCUAGUUACUCCACAUAAUCGACGCCAAAGUUGGGAUCUUGACCAUUUUAGCUUCCAUUUUGGAAGAUGGUAUUGUAGUCUUGAAGAACUAGAGCUUGGAGGCAGCAGCUGUUGAUGGUGGAGAAACGAGGAGGCCUAAAACUGUCCAUGGCUUGGAGAUGGUUUGUGACUGGUUUUUGAGCGUCACUGACCAAUCCCUGUCUUCACUGCAUAUCAACUUUAACUCCCUCCCUUCUUACUAUUCAAGCCCUGAUCUGUACCCUGAAACUAUUCAUGCUCUGAAAAUGUGUGUCGUAGCACACACAGUCGGGUCCAUUCAUUUUGAACAUUGUAGAGAAAAUCUAGUUCCAGUCACGCCAGUUCAGGCGUGUGAAAUCCGGUACAGGCUGGUACAUUUACUGUUAUAACAGCUAAACAGGGCAUCAGGCUUAUAUUUCCUUGAGCCCUGUAGGGAUAAGCAGGUUGUAGGUACUUUAAAAUAAAAAUAUUUUUUUAUCCUGAACCUUUAAAAUUGCCAGGGAUAACAUUUGGGGGCCAGCACCUCACAAAGGGAGGGUAGUGGUGGUCUUUGAUAGGAUAAAUGUGUUGGUAGUUGAACAAUUGGGCCAAGGGUUACAGAAUGCGUCAGGGCCAUGAUGAUGGUUGUAUGAAUUUCCCUCCCACCCCAAACUGGAAAUGUCCUUCCCCAACUGCUUUAUGUCCUUGGGCAGCAGUACAUUGGUCACAAUAGGGCACCUGUCCUUUUCUCAUUCUGGGACAUAACCUAAAUCCUGCAUGUGCAGCCCAGCAACAAGAUAAAAAUACCACCCUGGCUCAGGAAAACAGCAUCGGGGAGGCUGAAACCCCUUCUGUCCUAUACCACAGUCCUGAUUCAGAUUUGAGUCCUGUUCCAUUUGGCAUGCAAGGGGCGUUGGAAUAACGCCCACCCAACUCAUGCAAAAACCCAUUGUGUAGGGAUGUUGGGUUUGUGUGACUUGUGAAUUUGGCCUAAAUGAUGACAUCCAGAAAUGUCAUACAAUUGAGUGCAGUGCAUGUGAAUUAACACAAACCAGCCUGUUAUCAGUGCAAACCGAUUUUUGCCACAGAGAGAAGCAGCAUCUGGCUCUCCUCCUGACCUGCUUCGAUUGGUGACUGUGUGGAAGGAGAGAAGAGCAUUUUUCAGAGGAGCAUGUAGGAUGUAGCCUAGCAUGACAUUAUUGCACAAAAACAUGAAAGAAAAACUUAUUUGCCUUUUUGAAGUCGGUCAUGGAAGGCUGAAAGCUGAAACUAUAUUACCUUAAAGGAACAAGCAAAGCUGCUGUGUUUUUUGUUCAAACUGUGGUACACCAGAGAGCCCCGGGACACCCAAAGGUGGCCAGAAGGAUGGCAGUUACCUCUUCUUUUCCUCCUCUCUCCCCACUGUAAAAAUCAGAGGUAUGCUGCCUCUGGCUAGGGAUGUUCCACUCUGCUUUUAUAGGCGGCGACUAUCAUCUCAAACGUUAGAACACUUUGAAACUUGCUCAUUUGCACCUCCUGUUAAAAUGAGGCUGGUCUAAACAUUUGUAAAGGGAAGAGCUGUAGUUUGUAAUGUAAGGAUUUCACAGUGUCCCAUUUGCCUUUUUAAUGUUUUAUAUGUUUUAAGAGACCAAAUCAGAUCACUCGAGUCUCGUGGUGGUUUUUAACGUGUCCAAUAAAAAAUGCCAGUACUUUGAAGGAGAGUCGAGUGGCUGCUGUCAUCCUUGAAUCGAACUUUAAACAAAAAUGACAUUCUGUUGGCCUGUGCUGAACAGGUAGGGGCUAUUGCAUUUCAGACCCCAGCCUGAACUAAAGUUCUCCCUCCAAAUGUCAUCUCUCCUCAGUAUUACUAAUAAUUGGCAGGAUGUUAAAAGUGGUACAUUCAGAGGAAACCGACUUUGUCGUGCAGCAGUGCCUGCCUGGUGAAGGCCUCCUCUUGCCAAUUCUGCAGCAGCAGGUUGAGUUCUGGAACAACUGCUGGGUAAGAAUGAAGAAUAUGGCAAAAUGUGUCCUGCGGCCAUUUAGCUGCAAGCUUGUCUCUCUUUGACUUCCAGAGUUACCACCUGAAGCAGCUUUUAUCAGACGUUAUAACAUCCAAUGUUCUUGUGACCGCUCUACUGGCACAGACCGGUUUCCAUUUAGCUUUGUAAUGUAAACACAGCUCAGCAGAACUGCUUUAACAGCUGCAUCAUCCUGUCUACUGUAAUUAUGGUUGUUGUGGUUACACAAGUACUAUGUCGGUGGUGACUGCAUUAAACAUGAAGCGCAAACGAAAAA